UGUCAAACGAUGAACGCCAGAUGUUUCGGUGUUUCUCGGGCGAGUCAGUUUCCGCAAUAGUUUGUACAGGUUUGCGUGACACGGUUAUACGGCUGUGCUAUAACUCCGAUUGAAAUCACUGACGCACCGGUUGGGAGGUUAGGUCGCUACGGACGCCUCCUCCUCCGCCUCUCUGGCCGCUUUCUCUCUCUCACUCUUCGAUUACGAUUGCACUCGCAGAAGGAACACGCGGCAUCGGACCAACGAAACGUUUUUCCCGCCACGUGAUAUACGCACAAUCUCCGCGAUACCGAUCGAACACAGCCAGUUAGAAAUCAAAUGACCAACCGAAAACAGUAUGACCGUGUACGCAAAGAAGUGAAACGUCAAGAGCCUCCGUACGCUUUACCGAGCUGGCCGUGGACGGGCCUCUUUGCUUGCUGACGUCAUCGCUUGCCCGCCGGCAUGAACUUCGUUGCACGCACGGAGAGUGCCGAGCCGAAUACCACCGGAUUUGCACGAACCUGCACGAUCGUCCUCGCCAGAACUGUAAUCUUUAUGGAGAAAGAAAAACGCAUGGAUCAAAGGCGGACACACGAAUACAACGUAUACAACGUAUACAUAUCAGUCGCUCUGAUGGCUUCUGAUGCAGAUGACGUGCAGAUUAGUGGUUGCAUCAGAGGGUUCUUGCUUUGAGACAUCCAGUUAAAGUGCUUCUCCUCUGCCCGAUGCAUUUCCGGAUAAUUUAGAUCGUGCAAUGCUCCCUCUGUCAUGUGCUUACCGCUACACAUAUAUCUGCAUAUGUAAGGGUAAGCUCGUUCAUCAAGUCGUUGACGUAUGAUAAAAUUGUUUACCGUCGUUGUCUUUUAAAUUCAUUUUGGUAUACCGUUAGACGUAAGUACAAUUAGGAAUAUGUUUUAGAAAUUAAACGUAUGAGAUUUUCAUUAAUUCUUUCCUUUAUGAUUUUUUAAACCGUGAUUAACGGAGUGUUAACUAUUUAUAGUUGUAACAACAUAUCAAAUAGAAAAUAUAAAGAUA
Bombus terrestris (buff-tailed bumblebee) is the source of this 1017-nucleotide long non-coding RNA. RefSeq lists it as uncharacterized. Lineage: Eukaryota; Metazoa; Arthropoda; Insecta; Hymenoptera; Apidae. The record is from RefSeq and is a predicted model, not a curated record. The transcript is spliced from 2 exons.